GCGGGGUGGAGCAGCCUGGUAGCUCGUCGGGCUCAUAACCCGAAGGUCGUCGGUUCAAAUCCGGCCCCCGCAACCAA
This 77-nucleotide transfer RNA is filed under the name Escherichia coli. Its description in RNAcentral is "tRNA-Met". It matches the Rfam family "tRNA". Rfam says of the family: Transfer RNA (tRNA) molecules are approximately 80 nucleotides in length. RNAcentral also lists the same sequence under 2 other names. Lineage: Bacteria; Pseudomonadati; Pseudomonadota; Gammaproteobacteria; Enterobacterales; Enterobacteriaceae. The record is from RNAcentral.